UACGAAGGUGGCAAGCGUUACUCGGAAUUACUAGGCGUAAAGGGCAGGUAGGUGGUUCGAUAAGUCUAUUGUGAAAGCUCCUGGCUUAACUGGGAGAGGCCAAUGGAUACUGUCGGGCUUGAGUAUAGGAGAGGUUACUGGAAUUCCCGGUGUAGCGGUGAAAUGCGCAGAUAUCGGAAGGAACACCAAUGGCGAAAGCAGGUAACUGGACUAUUACUGACACUCAACUGCGAAAGCUAGGGGAGCAAACAGG
Molecule: ribosomal RNA, 253 nt
Filed under: uncultured bacterium
Lineage: Bacteria
Description: partial 16S ribosomal RNA
Rfam family: Bacterial small subunit ribosomal RNA
Source: RNAcentral